GAUGAACGCUGGCGGCGUGCCUAAUACAUGCAAGUCGAGCGAACGGACGAGAAGCUUGCUUCUCUGAUGUUAGCGGCGGACGGGUGUGUAACACGUGGAUAACCUACCUAUAUGACUGGGAUAACUUCGGGAAACCGGAGCUAACACCGGAGGAUAUUUUGAACCGCAUGGUUGAAAAGAGAAAGACGGUCUUGCUGUCACUUAUAGAUGGAUCCGCGCUGCUUUAGCUAGUUGGUAAGGUAACGGCCUAUUAAGGCAACGAUGCGUAGCCGACGGGAGAGGGUGAUCGCCCGCACGGGAGGUGAGACGGCGACAAGGGGACUGAGGGACGCAGCAGAAGGCAAUGUGCCGCAACGGGGGAAAGCCUUGCAGAACGGCGCCGCGUGUGUGAUGAAGGUCCUCGGAUCGUGAUGCUCGGUUAUUGGGGAAAAACAUAUGUGUCAGUAGCUGAGCACAUCUUGACGGUACCUGAUCAGAAAGCCACGGCUAACUACGUG
RNAcentral lists this ribosomal RNA (497 nucleotides) under uncultured bacterium. Its description in RNAcentral is "partial 16S ribosomal RNA". It matches the Rfam family "Bacterial small subunit ribosomal RNA", at positions 28 to 507 of the family's 1533-position model. The record is from RNAcentral.